UAGUACUGGGACUCUAACCAUAGGCCAUGAAUCUGGUCUUGGGACACUGUCAGGUGGGCAGUUUGACUGGGGCGGUCGCCUCCCAAAAGGUAACGGAGGCGCUCAAAGGUUCUCUCAGUACGGUCGGCAAUCGUACGUAGAGUGUAAAGGCAAAAGAGAGCUUGAUUGCAAGACAUACAGGUCGAGCAAGGAUGAAAAUCGGACUUAGUGAUCCGGUGGUUCUGCGUGGAAGGGCCAUCGCUCAACGGAUAAAAG
This 255-nucleotide ribosomal RNA is filed under the name Clostridioides difficile. RNAcentral's name for it is "partial 23S ribosomal RNA". It matches the Rfam family "Bacterial large subunit ribosomal RNA", at positions 2209 to 2462 of the family's 2925-position model. Lineage: Bacteria; Bacillati; Bacillota; Clostridia; Peptostreptococcales; Peptostreptococcaceae. The record is from RNAcentral.